GCAGCUAUAUUUGUUUGGCGUUGAAGGGAACUCAUUUAAUGAAAGUUUUAUUGCUUGUUUUCGAGCUAUAUAACAGAAAAAAAGAAGGAAAAAAGCCAGAAAACGUAACGUCUAAGCACUGACACAGGUCUGCAUAAAAUAUGGCAAAGUCAUGGCAUUAUUUAAUGGGCAAGUGAUUCAAAGUGAGCUCGGUACGUCAAGAGCAAGAGAAGUCAUAAGUAAGUUUCCAUGUUUAUUUAGUGUCAAAAAAGGGACUUCUAAACGGUAUUUGUCCAUUUUUAUCACAAUAGCAAUCCUUUUUAAAUGAAAUACACAUUGUUUUGUCUUCAAACUUCGAGUUUAUCCGCCGGAUAGUGGAUUUAAACUACCUCCGGACCUCGGAUAAAUUUA
This is a non-coding RNA of Paramuricea clavata, 390 nucleotides long. NCBI's taxonomy places the organism in Eukaryota, Metazoa, Cnidaria, Anthozoa, Malacalcyonacea, Plexauridae. The record is from the annotation of a GenBank genome assembly.